RNAcentral lists this ribosomal RNA (502 nucleotides) under uncultured bacterium. RNAcentral describes it as "bacterial SSU rRNA". It matches the Rfam family "Bacterial small subunit ribosomal RNA", at positions 24 to 518 of the family's 1533-position model. The record is from RNAcentral.
UCAGGAUGAACGCUAGCGACAGGCUUAACACAUGCAAGUCGAGGGCAGCGCGGAGGUAGCAAUACCUUGGCGGCGACCGGCGCACUGGUGAGUAACACGUAUGCGACCUGCCCCGGACAGGGGGGAUAAACCCGGGAAACUGGGUCUAAUACCCCAUAUGUGCCUUGGAUGCAUGUCCUUGGCAUGAAAGAUCCGUCGGUCCGGGAUGGGCAUGCGGCGCAUUAGCUUGUUGGCGGGGUAACGGCCCACCAAGGCGACGAUGCGUAGGGGUUCUGAGAGGAAGGUCCCCCACACUGGUACUGAGACACGGACCAGACUCCUACGGGAGGCAGCAGUGAGGAAUAUUGGUCAAUGGGCGAUAGCCUGAACCAGCCAAGUCGCCGUGCGGGAUGAAGGCCCUCCGGGUCGUAAACCGCUUUAGCCGGGGAGUAACGUGUGGGACGCGUCCCGCAGUGAGAGUACCCGGAGAAUAAGCAUCGGCUAACUCCGUGCCAGCAGCCGC